This 333-nucleotide unclassified non-coding RNA is filed under the name soil metagenome. RNAcentral describes it as "partial contains 5.8S ribosomal RNA, internal transcribed spacer 2, and large subunit ribosomal RNA". The stretch from base 1 to 120 matches the Rfam family "5.8S ribosomal RNA", at positions 35 to 154 of the family's 154-position model. The record is from RNAcentral.
GAUGAAGAACGUAGCAAAAUGCGAUAAGUAAUGUGAAUUGCAGAAUUCAGUGAAUCAUCGAAUCUUUGAACGCACAUUGCGCCCGCCAGUAUUCUGGCGGGGAUGCCUGUUCGAGCGUCAUUUCAACCCUCAAGCUCAGCUUGGUGUUGGGACUCGCGGUAACCCGCGUUCCCCAAAUCGAUUGGCGGUCACGUCGAGCUUCCAUAGCGUAGUAAUCAUACACCUCGUUACUGGUAAUCGUCGCGGCCACGCCGUUAAACCCCAACUUCUGAAUGUUGACCUCGGAUCAGGUAGGAAUACCCGCUGAACUUAAGCAUAUCAAUAAGCGGAGGA